This is a long non-coding RNA of Gossypium arboreum, 559 nucleotides long. RefSeq lists it as uncharacterized. Lineage: Eukaryota; Viridiplantae; Streptophyta; Magnoliopsida; Malvales; Malvaceae. The record is from RefSeq and is a predicted model, not a curated record. The transcript is spliced from 3 exons.
UCUUUUUUAUAUGUUCUUUCGAACUGUAUCCCCUCCUCGGAUACCGUUGGAAACCUGUUGUGUUGCUUUGCUCUCAUCUCCACCACGAAACCAAAGAUCUAUGGCGGGCGACAUUUCACUCACUUUUAUUUUCAAACGCGCUUCGAUUCGCCUUUAGGAACGCACUUGCGCUGUCAUUGGCGCUCACAUGCCAUCUUUCUCCCAACUUUGCCCAAUUUACUUUAAGCCGCCAUGUUCAUCACUAAGGGAGAAGAUUCAAAUACGAAGCUAGAUCGAGGAAAGGAAAAAGUUCGGGAUUAGUAGAUUUUUUUUGUUUACAAACAAGUAUCAAGUGUUAAGAGCUCGAAGGUCGGAUUUGGUCAGAAACACAUCACACUAUCAACCUCAGGAUUUCGGUAUAUAAAGAAACUUUAUUUUGGAAAUCAAUGGCAUGUAUAAGCUAAUAAAGUAAAUGUUAACGUGAAAUGAAUGUAAAGUUAGCCAUUAGUAUGGUUAACAAACUUGGUUUUGGGUAUGUGAUGACGUUAUUUUAUAAAUAUGCAUGAAUUUAUCUUGAAAA